RNAcentral lists this ribosomal RNA (135 nucleotides) under uncultured bacterium. Its description in RNAcentral is "partial 16S ribosomal RNA". It matches the Rfam family "Bacterial small subunit ribosomal RNA", at positions 355 to 507 of the family's 1533-position model. The record is from RNAcentral.
UGGGGAAUAUUGGACAAUGGGCGCAAGCCUGAUCCAGCCAUGCCGCGUGGGUGAUGAAGGCCCUAGGGUUGUAAAGCCCUUUCAGCGGGGAAGAUAAUGACGGUACCCGCAGAAGAAGCCCCGGCUAACUUCGUG